AUAGCGACAGUGUAGUAUACGCUUAUGUAUAUGUCAUAUACACACACUUAAAUAUAAGUGAAAUGAAGGAGAGCAGUGAUGCCCAAGGGAUGGAGGGAUAGGAGAGAGCAAUUAGGAAUUAGGAUUAUUUUGUUAUUAUAGUGUGCUUGCAUUAUCAAGAAACCAGUGUAGUGUCGUUUGAAAGUGGACUUGGGUUACUUGUAAAUUUAUAUUGCAAAUUCCAAGGCAGCCACUUUAAAAAAAAAAAAAA
Molecule: long non-coding RNA, 250 nt
Organism: Cercocebus atys (sooty mangabey)
Lineage: Eukaryota; Metazoa; Chordata; Mammalia; Primates; Cercopithecidae
Exons: 2
Source: RefSeq, a predicted model, not a curated record